CUUUUUUUUUCUUUUUCUUUUUGUCUUUUCUAGGGCUGUACCCACAGCAUAUGGAGAUUCCCAGGCUAGGGGUCUAAUCAGAGACAUAGCCGCCAGCCUACGCCACAGCCACAGCAACGCAGGAUCCGAGCCAUGUCUAUGGCCCACACCACAGCUCAUGACAACACCAGAUCCUUAACCCACUGAGCAACACCAGGGAUCGAACCCACAAUAUAAAUGUUAAUAUAUUUAUAGCAAUUUAAAAAUCUUUGCUAAUUUUAACAUCUGAUUUAUCUAUGGAUCUUCUUUUAUUCAUUACUCUUUUCUUGUGAUUAUAGAUCACAUAGCCCUGCUUCUUUGCAUGGCUCAUAAAUUUUUAUUUUAUACUUCACAUUGUAGAUGAUAAAUUAUAGAUUCUAGAUUCUGUUAUCUUCUGAAUACUGUUAAGUUCUAUUUAUUGUUACAGAGUUAAGUUCCUGGGGAAUAAGCUUGAUCUUGUGGAGCCUUGGUUUUAAGCUGCAUGUCUCUUUCAUUUUUCUUUAUUCUUUAUUUUUUAUUUUUGUUUUUGUCUUUUUGCCUUUUCUAGGGCCACUCCCAUGGCAUAUGGGGUUUCCCAGGCUAGGGGUCUAAUCAGAGCUGUAGCUGCCGACCGACGCCAGAGCUCACGGCAACACCGGAUCCUUAACACACUUGAGCAAGGCCAGGGAUUGAACCUGCAACUUCGUGGUUCCUAGUUGGAUUUGCUAACCACUGAGCCAUGAUGGGAACUCCCAUUUUUCUUUAUUCUUAGGGCAUAGUCUUUAGUCCUAAAAUACAGUCUUUAUUCUUUUUUUUUUUUUAGAUGUCUUUUUGGGGUCGCACCUAUGGCAUAUGGAAGUUCCCAGUCUAGGGGUCAAGUUGGAGCUGCAGCCGUCAGCCCGCACCACAGCCACAGCAACACGGGAUCCUAAACUCACCGAGCGAGGUCAGCAUCCUCAUGGAUACUUGUUGGGUUCAUAACCUGCUGAGCCAUGUUAGGAACUCCCAUUACCCAAUGAAUAUUUUUUGAACCCUAGACUGUUGAAAAAUCUAUGAAGGAUGCCACACACUCUCUUACAAGUGAAGAUUUGGCUACGAUUUGUCCGAAUUGGGAAUUGGCUUCAUGCCAUCUGAUGUUCCUCCCAACUCUCAGAAUCUACAAUUUUAUGAAUUAAGUAUGGACUCCACUCUUAAUUGCUGUGAAAGUGUCUCCAUUAUGUAACACUAAAGUACACGGAGAGGUUGGUAUAAUAGGUGCUAUUUUUUAAAAUUUUGUUUUGUUUUUUUCACCCGGAGUUCAUUUUUACCACUUCUGAUAAGUACCUAGAAUUUCAUAUGGGAAACUGUCUCCUCCCCACCUUUUUAGUCUGUAAGAUUCAAGUGGGGUUCCACUCGUUCAGAGGAACAUGUGACUCUGAUUAAGCUAGAGUACCACUAAAUCUCACUAGUCAUGGGUGAUUGAUUUAAGGGUUACCAGGCAAGUCAAACCUAGAAAUGAGUGUUAUUAUAUCUCUUGGCCACAGAAACUGUUUCAUUACAUCAAGAUGAAGAUACUGGUCCAAAGAGCAUGAAUCAUGGCAUGUGAGCAGAAGCUAUUGGAAAAUAAAUUCCUGCCUGUCUUUCAGACUUGAAAGCAUAAAGAUAUUGAUGUAGGACUCUUGGCAUUAUGUUGAUACCACAAGCAACUGAAAUUUAAACAGGGCAGAAGAGAGCAGAGUCAAACCAUUUGAGGGUUUGGAUAUUGCUGUGCUUGACACUCUGUACCUAUACUUUUCAGGUCUGUGAAUUAGAUAAAUUCUCUUUUUAAACUAGUUUGGGUUGGGGUCUCUUUCCCUUAGAAAUAGCCCUGGCUGCCACAUCAGUCAAGGGCCUAAUGGGGUGUGCCAAUUAUGGCACCCAGAGAUGAAAAGUAGGCCUGGUCACUUCAACUUGGUUUUGGUUGAACACCUUUAAACAAGCUUUGUCAUUCACCAGAUUCACCGCAGACAGCCUUUCUAUGCCUCCUGCAGUCAUUCUCCUGUAACUUUCCAGAAUACAUGGAGGUAGGCACUAGAUCAUGUGUUUGUGGGCUAUUCAAUCUUAACCUAUCCUGCAAUCACAUUGCAAGUCCGCCUUCCCAAGUGGGUGGAAAUUCUUUGGGGAUAUUAGCUUUCUGUGUGUUCCUUCCCUGAGCUGGGCUUCAGUGAUAAUAUAACGUCUUCCCCUGUCUCCUGGCUGAGAGGGAAUCUUUGAGCAAUUGUGGGAACAGUUACACAGUCUAAUUUCUAACUAUUCCCGGUACAACUGAAUGUUAAAGAUGCUUACCUGAUCAGAAAAUCUCACAUGUUGUCUUAGGAAAGGUGCCUGCUUCUCUUUUCAAGUUUCAGCUAAGAUUAAUCAGCAGUGUCUCUCAGAUAUUUUAAAAAUGGAAUCCUAACAUUUCACCUAUUUGAUCUGCCAAACAUAUUUAACCUCUUCUAAUUGUUACAGUGUUUUGUGCAAAUUUUAACCAGAGAAGGGGAUUGCAAAACAGGAUCUGUCUCUCUCUCUCUCAUUUCCCCCCCUGUGUUUGCCACGGUGGACCUUUCUCCAGGGCACCUACAAAAUCAGGAAAACUUAGGAAUGUGAGGAUAAUUUUUGACAAGCAGCAAAUGAUGACUUUGGAUUAGAUAAACAUCUCCCUUUUCUUUGAUAAAGGUUGGUUUCUCUACAGCAGCAGGAGCCCGGGAUGGCUAUCAUCUCCCGUCAUAAUUUAUUUGGGGCGAGAUUGGUUUGUCCAUCACUUGUCACUCUGUGUCCCUAAGAGUUCCCUCAGCAGUGCCAUGGACCUGGUGUCUCCUGGAUGUGUAUCUCUUCUGACUUGUUCAGUUAAUUUCACAAAUGUGUUUUUUUUUGUAGUAUUUUUCCCAGGUACAUUUACCAAGUGUUUUACGUCUGUCUACCAGGAAGUACCAGCUGUGUUUGAGGAAGGGAAGUGAAUGAAUCACUUCCUUCAUCUCCCUUUGGGAAGAGAAGGAUACUUCAUUAUUGUGUACUCAGAGCAGGUCUAGGCACAGGACAAAAUGGUAGUCACCAGUUCAUAGAAAGAUUUUAUUCUUUCUUUGCUAAAAUGGAAGAACACUGAGGACAGGGCCUGUGGCAGACAUGUCUUGUGUCCACCGAUGUGUGACAAUCUUUUCCUUCAUGGGCUCAUAAAAGAUGACACUCCACAAUCCUUUGCUUUUAUUCUGGGCUGUGUGAAUGAUCUUGGCUAGUGGGCUGUGAGAGGAAGCGACUUGGGUCCUGCCUGGGCUGAGGCAGGUUAAAGCCACCAGUUUCUCCCCUCCUGUCAAGGAAACAAGAAGAGGUUCCAUGUGAGAUACAAUAUUGAAAGAGAGCAUCCCAGUCCUGCAGUGCACUUAAAGCAAGAAAUAAGCAUUAGUUGACUAGUUUUGUUAAGCCAUUAAGAUUUAGGGGUUGGGAGUUCCUGUCAUGGCUCAGUGGUUAAUGAACCUGAGUAGCAUCCAGGAGGAUGCAGGUUUAAUCCCUGGCCUCGCUCAGUGGAUUAAGGAUCCGGUGUUGCCUUGAGCUGUGGUGUAGGUUGCAGACAUGGCUUGGAUCUCACAUUGCUGUGGCUGUGGUAUAGGCCAGUGGCUGCAGCUCUGAAUUGACCCCUGGCCUGGGAACCUCCAUAUGCCCUGGGUGCAGUCCUAAAAAGACAAAAGACAAAAGACAAAAAAAAAAAAAAAGGUUUAGGUGUCGUAUGUCACCAAAACAUAGCCUAUCUUGUCCUGCAUAAUGUAGAAAUUAUGGACUUUAAAAAAUGGACACAUAAUUUACAGUGAAAUAUUCUGUGAGUGCACUGUUGGAACUGCCUUGACAAAUGCCUGUACUCAUGUACCCACAUAUUUCUAAGGCAGAACAUCAAUCUCACCCCAGUCAGUUCUCUUGUGCCCCUUACCAGGCAGUUCCCUCCCUCCAGAAAGGUCACCCAUCUGAGGUCUUUUACUAGAGUUUUGCCAAUUCUAGAAGUUCAAAGAAAUAGAACAUAUAGUAUGUAUAUUUGUGUGUGUGUCUGACUUCCUUAAUUUAGUAUAGUGUUUUUUGAGAUGGAUCCAUGCUGACAGCAGGCAUUAGUAGUUUUCCCUUCUUGCUGAGUAAUGAUCCAUUUUGUGAAUUUGCUAUAGUUUAUCCAUUGUCCUUAUGAUGGACUUUUCCUAGUUUGGGGUUAUGGUGAAUGAAGUUUCCAUAAACACCUGUUUGCAAGGCUUUUUGUGGACAUAAUUUUUCUUUACUUGUUAUUGAAUUACAACUGACCUACAAUAUUAUAUGAGUUUCAGGUGCACAGUAUAGUGAUUCAAUAUUUGUACACAUUAUGAAAUGAUCACCAUGAUAAUUCUAGUUGCCAUCUGUCACCGUACAACAUAAUUAAAAUAUUAUUGACUAUAAUAUCUAUGCUGAGCAUUAUAUCCCUGUGACUUAUUUAUCUUACAAUUGGGAGUUUGUACCCCUUUCCCUAUGUUGUCUGUCCUCCCACCCCGCUUCCCUCUGGCAACCACCAGUUUGUUCUCUGUAUCUAUGGGUCUGUGUCUGUUUUGGUGUGUUGGUUUAUUUGUCUUAUUUUUUAGAUUCCACAAAAAAAGUGAAAUCAUAUGGUAUUUGUCUUUUUCUGUCGGACUUAUUUCACUCAGCAUUAUACCCAUUAGUUCCCAUCUGUGUUGUUGCAAAUGUCAAGAUUUCAUCAUUUUUUAUGGUUAUUCUAUUUUACACAUAUACCGCAUCUUCUUUAUCCACUCUUCUAUUGAUGGACACAUAUAUUGCUUCCAUAUCUUGGUUGUUAUAAAUAAUGCUACAACAGACACAGGGGUGCACAGACUUUUACAAGUUAGUGUUUUCUUUUUCUUCCCAUAAAUACCCAGAAGUGGGAUUGCUCGAUCACAUGGUAGUUUUAUUUUUAAUUUUUGGAAGGAACCUCCAUGCUAUUUUCCAUAGUGGCUGCACUAAUUUACAUUCCCACCAACAGUGAUGUGGGUUCCCUUUUC
Molecule: long non-coding RNA, 4997 nt
Filed under: Sus scrofa (pig)
Lineage: Eukaryota; Metazoa; Chordata; Mammalia; Artiodactyla; Suidae
Description: lncRNA (ENSSSCG00015057188.1)
Source: RNAcentral